Molecule: ribosomal RNA, 397 nt
Filed under: uncultured bacterium
Lineage: Bacteria
Description: bacterial SSU rRNA
Rfam family: Bacterial small subunit ribosomal RNA
Source: RNAcentral
GGAAUCUUGGACAAUGGGGGCAACCCUGAUCCAGCGACGCCGCGUGGGUGAUGAAGGCCUUCGGGUUGUAAAGCCCUUUCGCCGGGGACGAUGAUGACGGUCCCCGGCGAAGAAGCACCGGCUAACUCCGUGCCAGCAGCCGCGGUAAGACGGAGGGUGCUAGCGUUGUUCGGAAUCACUGGGCGGAAGGGGCGCGUAGGCGGCCUUGGCCGUCGGCUGUGAAAGCCCGGGGCUCAACCCCGGAGGUGCAGCCGAGACCCCAAGGCUGGAGGCCGGAAGAGGAGGGUGGAAUACCCAGUGUAGAGGUGAAAUUCGUAGAUAUUGGGUGGAACACCGGUGGCGAAAGCGGCUCUCUGGUCCGGUCCUGACGCUGAGGCGCGAAAGCGUGGGGAGCAAA